GGAAUUACCUUUUUCUUAGUUUUAUCUUUAAUUAAUUUGUAACUAUAGUGUAAAAUGCUAAAUUUUUCCAAGUGAUCGUAAUUAUAAUGAUAUAUAAAAAACUAAAUUUAAUUCUAUUAUGUGUGAUCUUUGCAUAUCAUCUCCUGUUUUAUUUCUUUAGUUGCAUCUAAGAUUGAUAAGUGAAAAAUUAAACAAUCAGCCU
RNAcentral lists this long non-coding RNA (202 nucleotides) under Elaeis guineensis (African oil palm). RNAcentral's name for it is "long non-coding RNA (EGUI_LNC000891)". The record is from RNAcentral. Lineage: Eukaryota; Viridiplantae; Streptophyta; Magnoliopsida; Arecales; Arecaceae.